This 497-nucleotide ribosomal RNA is filed under the name uncultured bacterium. RNAcentral's name for it is "partial 16S ribosomal RNA". It matches the Rfam family "Bacterial small subunit ribosomal RNA", at positions 28 to 507 of the family's 1533-position model. The record is from RNAcentral.
GAUGAACGCUGGCGGCGUGCCUAAUACAUGCAAGUCGAGCGAACGGACGAGAAGCUUGCUUCUCUGAUGUUAGCGGCGGACGGGUGAGUAACACGUGGAUAACCUACCUAUAAGACUGGGAUAACUUCGGGAAACCGUAUCUAAUACCGGAUAAUAUUUUGAACCGCAUGGUUCAAAAGUGAAAGACGGUCUUUCUGUCACUUAUAGAUGGAUCCGCGCUGCAUUAGCUAGUUGGUAAGGUAACGGCUUACCAAGGCAACGAUGCAUAGCCGACCUGAGAGGGUGAUCGGCCACACUGGAACUGAGACACGGUCAAGACUCCUACGGGAGGCAGCAGUAGGGAAUCUUCCGCAAAGGGCGAAAGCAUGACGGAGCAACGCCGAGUGAGUGAUGAAGGUCUUCGGAUCGUAAAACUCUGUUAUUAGGGAAGAACAUAUGUGUAAGUAAAUGUGCACAUCUUGACGGUACCGAAUCAGAAAGCCACGGCUAACUACGUG